Molecule: ribosomal RNA, 119 nt
Filed under: Pteropus vampyrus (large flying fox)
Lineage: Eukaryota; Metazoa; Chordata; Mammalia; Chiroptera; Pteropodidae
Source: RNAcentral
GCCUACAGCCAUGCCACCCUGAACACGCCCGAUCCCAUCUGAUCUUGGAUGUUAAGCAGGGUUGGGUCUGCUAAGUACUUGGAUGGUAGACCACCUAAGAAGACCAGGUGCUAUAAGCA